Pelobates cultripes (western spadefoot toad) is the source of this 160-nucleotide non-coding RNA. The record is from the annotation of a GenBank genome assembly. NCBI's taxonomy places the organism in Eukaryota, Metazoa, Chordata, Amphibia, Anura, Pelobatidae.
GUGCUAGCUUCGGCAGCACAUAUACUAAAAUUGGAACGAUACAGAGAAGAUUAGCAUGGCUAAGAGGCAAGCUAAAAAUAUGGAACGCUUCACGAAUUUGCGUGUCAUCCUUGCGCAGGGCAAGGAUGACACGCAAAUUCGUGAAGCGUUCCUUAUUUUU